GCCGGAGUGGUGGAAUUGGUAGACACGACGGAUUCAAAAUCCGUUGCCUUCGGGCGUGACGGUUCAAGUCCGUCCUCCGGUACCA
RNAcentral lists this transfer RNA (85 nucleotides) under Colwellia sp. RNAcentral describes it as "tRNA-Leu". It matches the Rfam family "tRNA". From Rfam's summary of the family: Transfer RNA (tRNA) molecules are approximately 80 nucleotides in length. Their secondary structure includes four short double-helical elements and three loops (D, anti-codon, and T loops). The record is from RNAcentral. Lineage: Bacteria; Pseudomonadati; Pseudomonadota; Gammaproteobacteria; Alteromonadales; Colwelliaceae. RNAcentral also lists the same sequence under 6 other names.